Molecule: ribosomal RNA, 302 nt
Filed under: uncultured bacterium
Lineage: Bacteria
Description: partial 16S ribosomal RNA
Rfam family: Bacterial small subunit ribosomal RNA
Source: RNAcentral
GCAGUCGCCGCGGGAAUACAGAGGGUGCGAGCGUUAAUCGGAUUUACUGGGCGUAAAGCGUGCGUAGGCGGCUUUUUAAGUCGGAUGUGAAAUCCCUGAGCUUAACUUAGGAAUUGCAUUCGAUACUGGGAAGCUAGAGUAUGGGAGAGGAUGGUAGAAUUCCAGGUGUAGCGGUGAAAUGCGUAGAGAUCUGGAGGAAUACCGAUGGCGAAGGCAGCCAUCUGGCCUAAUACUGACGCUGAGGUACGAAAGCAUGGGGAGCAAACAGGAUUAGAUACCCGGGUAGUCCCUGUCUCUUAUAA